RNAcentral lists this long non-coding RNA (2243 nucleotides) under Panax ginseng (ginseng). RNAcentral describes it as "long non-coding RNA (PGIN_LNC017289)". Lineage: Eukaryota; Viridiplantae; Streptophyta; Magnoliopsida; Apiales; Araliaceae. The record is from RNAcentral.
CCUAAAACCCUAAACGCUGGCCCAUAAUAGCUUUAGCCAAAAGUUCUCACAUCACCCGUUGUCCUCUCAUUUUCUUGGCAUUAGUUCGAACUCCCAAAUUUCUUACAAUCGAUCUCAAAGAUGGCUUCCAAGUGCAGCAGAAUAAUUAACAGGGCUUCAAUAUCGUCCUUCAAAUCCGCCAUUAAAUCGAAUAUUCAAACAGCUUCCAAAGCUUCCAUAGACAGACCUUCGACCAAAUCGACAUCAUCACCACUUCGCCGAUUCUCUCUCUCCAGGUCUUUCGAUAUAUAUAUAUAUAUANNNNNNNNNNNNNNNNNNNNNNNNNNNNNNNNNNNNNNNNNNNNNNNNNNNNNNNNNNNNNNNNNNNNNNNNNNNNNNNNNNNNNNNNNNNNNNNNNNNNAGUCAUUCAAUUCGUUUGUUUUUUAAAAAAAUUGUCUGAAUAACUGCACUAGUCAGCUAUUCAGACGAUUUAAACUGAAUAAUUUAGUCCAAUUUUUUUAGCGGCUGAAAGUUGUUUUUUUUACAAUAUUAACUAAUAUAUUAAAUAAAUUUAUUAUAAUUUUUUGAGAAUUUUUUAGAGGAUAAAAUAAUAAAAAUAUGUUAUUCAGAUAUGUCAAUUAUCAAAAACUUUUUUCAUUCAAAUUCAAAUUCAAAUUCAAAUUCAAAUUCAUUCAAUUUUUAUCAAACACACCUAAAUAUAGUUUGCUUCGCGUCUGGUUAAUAAUCAAGUGACACUUGACAUGACACGCAUGAUUUGGUAAAACCGUAAAAUUUACACCCUCGCCCAACAAAAGUAGUUACAUUUAUAAAAUUUGUAAACAUUAAGUAUAUAUGUAUUCUCUUCUCCCAUAUUUUUGCCCUUAAUAUUAUAAAUUAUUGGCGUAUAAUUGGUAGUAUAAUAAUAAAAUUAUGGUGAUAAAAAUAGCCAUUUGUUUUUUUGGGAGAAACAGUAAGAUAUGACAACUAAGGCUAUUUUUGUGGAAUCAUGGGAGUAUAACUUAUUGUGAUAUUAAAUAUUAUUAAAACACCGUUUCAAAAGGGAUUAAAGAUAAUUUUCAUAAUUUACUAAGAUAAAUAUUUUAUUUAGGAGUGCUUUAAUAAGAAUGAAAUGUAAGGAUGAAAAUGAUUCCAAAUCAAUUCGAAAAGUACCUUACUUAAAUUAUACUACUAUGAAAUUUUUUUCAGGUACUCAAAUUUGUACAGGAAUUCGAAUAAAAUUUUGUAAUUUUUGCUUAAGUUAGAAUUUGACUCAUUUUAUUGUACACGAGUUCAAAUUAAAAUCUCUAGCCAUGUACAUAAAAUAACCAUGUCAUGUAAUGAUGCACUAUAAUUGAUUUCUUAGGUUAAAUUCUAAAUGAGUACAAUAGUUUAAAGCAUGUUUUGGACACAAUGAUAUAUUAUGCCAGUCCAAUAAACUUUUUGAUUGUGUCUAUAUAUAUAUAUAUAUAUAUAUAUUGUGAGGAGCUCUUGGUCAAUAUAGGAUCCCGUUAUUAUGAAAUUGAAGUUAAUUUCAUGAUAAAUUGAUUAAUUUGACUAAGCAUAAGAGAGAUCAUCUCAUAAUUUGUAUAGUAACACUAUAUUAAUCAAUUAAUAAAAAUUAAUUUCAUGUUAACCACUUACGUCAAUAUAUAAUGUUACUCCACAUUCCACAUGCAUGCAUUAUAAGCAUUUUAGGGGAGCUAAAAAGUGUAACAAACAAUGCAGGAGAAGGUUGUUUUUUAAAACUUUUCAAAAAAAAGAAGAAGGUUUAUUUUUAAAUAAUGAAUUGAAAGCAGCACAAUUAUCAUAAAAUCUUCUCACUUCUAAACUGAAGUUGGACUGUAUUUCUGUUAAUUUGAUUGAACUCCAAGCCCAUUAGCUUGUAUGGGUCGAAAAUUUGAUUGAAAUAACUUUUUAAAUGGGCCAUACAAAUUGUUAUUCUAAUUUCUACAAGCUCAUUUAGCUAUGAAAGUAUUUUUUGAGGUGAGCCUAAAACCCUAAACCCUGGCCCAUAAUAGCUUUAGCCAAAGUUUCUCACAUCACCCGUUGUCCUCUCAAUUUUCUUGUCAUUAGUUCGAACUCCCAAAUUUCUUACAAUCGAUCUCAAAGAUGGCUUCCAAGUGCAGCAGAAUAAUUAACAGGGCUUCAAUAUCGUCCUUCAAAUCCACCAUUAAAUCGAAUAUUCAAACAGCUUCCAAAGCUUCCAUAGACAGACCUUCGACCAAAUCGACAUCAUCACCACUUCGCCGAUUCUCUCUCUCCAG